UACAGGGGGUGCAAACGUUGCUCGGAAUCAUUGGGCGUAAAGGGCGCGCAGGUGGUUCUGUAUGUCUACCGUGAAAGCGUACGGCUCAACCGUAUUUUGUCGGUAGAAACUGCAGGACUUGAGGCUGGGAGGGGCUGGUGGAAUUCCCUGUGUAGCGGUGAAAUGCGUAGAGAUGGGGGAGAACACUCGUGGCGAAGGCGGCCAGCUAGACCAGUUCUGACACUGAGGCGCGACAGCGUGGGGAGCAAACAGG
This 253-nucleotide ribosomal RNA is filed under the name uncultured bacterium. Its description in RNAcentral is "partial 16S ribosomal RNA". It matches the Rfam family "Bacterial small subunit ribosomal RNA", at positions 524 to 776 of the family's 1533-position model. The record is from RNAcentral.